RNAcentral lists this transfer RNA (84 nucleotides) under bacterium. RNAcentral's name for it is "tRNA-Leu". It matches the Rfam family "tRNA". From Rfam's summary of the family: Transfer RNA (tRNA) molecules are approximately 80 nucleotides in length. The record is from RNAcentral.
GCCGGAGUGGUGAAAUUGGUAAACACGCAGCGUUCAGGACGCUGUGCCCGCAAGGGCUUGGAGGUUCAAGUCCUCUCUCCGGCA